Molecule: ribosomal RNA, 645 nt
Filed under: uncultured bacterium
Lineage: Bacteria
Description: bacterial SSU rRNA
Rfam family: Bacterial small subunit ribosomal RNA
Source: RNAcentral
GUAACACGUAUGCAACCUGCCCCAAACAGGGGGAUAGCCUCUCGAAAGAGAGAUUAAUACCCCAUAAUAAUGUUGUUAGGCAUCUAAUGAUAUUUAAAGCUGAGGCGGUUUGGGAUGGGCAUGCGGUUGAUUAGGUAGUUGGUGAGGUAAUGGCUCACCAAGCCAACGAUCAAUAGGGGGUCUGAGAGGAUGUCCCCCCACACUGGUACUGAGACACGGACCAGACUCCUACGGGAGGCAGCAGUAGGGAAUAUUGGACAAUGGGGGCAACCCUGAUCCAGCCAUGCCGCGUGCAGGAAGACUGCCCUAUGGGUUGUAAGCUGCUUUUGUACGGGAAGAAACCUCACUACGAGUAGUGAGUUGACGGUACCGUGAGAAUAAGGAUCGGCUAACUUCGUGCCAGCAGCCGCGGUAAUACGAAGGAUCCAAGCGUUGUCCGGAUUUACUGGGUUUAAAGGGUGCGUAGGCGGGCUAUUAAGUCGGUGGUGAAAGCCGAUCGCUUAACGAUCGAACUGCCAUUGAAACUGAUAGUCUUGAGUAUGUUUGAGGUUACUGGAAUAUAACAUGUAGCGGUGAAAUGCUUAGAUAUGUUAUAGAACACCAAUUGCGAAGGCGGGUAACUAAGUCAUAACUGACGCUGAGGCA